UCUUUUUGCCAUCUCCUGGCUCACAACUGGCGUCUGGAAUAGAGGACGUGCGUCACGCGCCUGCUCAGAUGUCGGCGCGCUUCAUAUCGAGAGCCCCCUCACCGUUCAUACUAGCGGCUAGCAGGGCGCAGUCGUGGGUGGACGUGCUGCGAGCCUACUCCAAGUGCUGCGACUACCUACAAGGAGUCUAUCAGCCCACGUGUGUAGAGCUGGAGCACGGCCUGUCGUACAUGCCAAACUCACAGAGCACGUCCUUGUUCUACUACGGUCUCAUCAAGGCCCCGAUAGCCCCUGCUACACCAGACAAGAGUCUCGUCCAGGUAGUGCUGAGACGCUACAAGGAGUGUGGAAGCGUUGCAGCGCUUCGGCGCGUUAUCCAGGAAGAUGUGAACAGCGCAACCUUGGAAGGCGCAAGAGGGAAGCUCGCGCUGGCGUCCACUGCUGGUCUCUGGGAAGCGGCCCUCGAGACCUUGCUGAGUCAUCCGCCGCUGAUUGACAGCACAGUGCAGCGCCGUGUUGUGCUCUCAACACUGUGCAACAGCAACCAGUGGCGCUUGGCUCUUGGUGUGCUGUAUAUGGAACCGAAAGUGGAUCUGCACCCCAUCAUGGUUCGGCCGCUCGUACGAUGCUUCGGCCGCCUGCACGACCACCACUCUGCACUAAGACUAACAGCGGCAGCCCUGGCGGCUGGACACUCGAUGAGCUCGCCUCUUUUCUCGGCGCUUUUGCCGACACUCCAGGAGACGGGAAAGUGGCAGCUAGCUCUGCAUGUAGCGCACAAGCUGCAGCUACUUUCAGCCACACGGGCGGAAGCGCGCACCAACGUAUCGAUCUACAAUCAGCUGGUGGACUGCCUCUACGAAGCCGACGUCUACGCGGCCUUUCCCCUGGAGGAUGUGAUUCAACAAAUCGUGGAUCGCAUGCGUCCCCGAGAGUUGGAGGAGAGGCAUAGGAAAAGCCGAGCAAAGCAGUUCCGGCUGCAUUCACCGGUAGAUGUCUUCCAGCAGUUUCAGAGCGUUCUUAUGGCACUGACAACCGUGUACAGCAAGGCCAUGGGUGUGCCUCGCUGGUAUUCUCGCUCCAUCGGCAGCGUUGUAGACAGCGCCUUGCAGAAGAACACGGCUCUCCUUGUGCUUGACACGAACUUUUUGCUGCAGUUAGUGAAGAAACAGCUGCCGCUCGAGCACUUCUACGCGUACAUGAAGCAGCAGUAUCCGAAUCUGCGACAGUACCACUUUUCCACGGUGGUCGUUCCCUUCACUACCGUGUCCGAAGCUCACGCGCACAUCUGGGGCCCGAAAGAGCACUUCCCCGUCGAUGUGCGAAAGCUGUUAUGGUCACGGGCUGUGAGCCUGCUCCAGCAGCCCAAUGUGUACGUCUUGUCCAUUGCUGGAGAGUACCCGUGCUCUUCCCUGAACAUCAUCCCGCGGCUGGCAUAUCGGACAAUGCCCGGCAACGUUGCCGGCGCUUUUCAGCGCGAUCCUGACCUUCGAAUUUUGAGCGUGUGUGCGACGCUCCAGCACUACUUACGAACGGCGAAGGUCACCGAGAACUUGGGAGGAUCAACGGUGCCAGAGGGUGUGGCCCUCUUCUCGCUACUCAAGUAUCAUGUGCGGCGCUACUGCAACACAGUGAAGGGGCCCUGUGUGGACCGCUUGCUUCUCUGCACCUUGGACAAGCGGAUGUCACGCGGUGCUGUACAGAUGGGCGUACGAGUGUUCCCUUGCUUGUCCCCCUAGGCUUGCAGCACCACGGUGUUUUGUGCCGUAUUUGUCCACUUCCCGUGCACCUGUGAGGCGGCGCUGGGCACCGGAUACGAUGCCGACAUUUUGUCAUGGAUGUGCCGCUCUGCUCUCUGUAGCGCUGUGUCUUUGUGCCUCUUCAAUCUCUACGCAAGUGCUUGGCGGCAUUCGAGUGCGGCUCGUCCGGUACUGCUGUCUCGCGCCUCUCCCUCACCGUCUUCCUCGCGCUGCCUACCUACCCUGACGGCGGGAAUCUCAUCUGCCCCUCUUACUCUCUCACAGAACAACAGCAGCAAC
Molecule: unclassified non-coding RNA, 2039 nt
Filed under: Leishmania donovani
Lineage: Eukaryota; Euglenozoa; Kinetoplastea; Trypanosomatida; Trypanosomatidae
Description: gene:LdHU3.32.5260(CDS-product:hypothetical_prote in_conserved)
Source: RNAcentral